This 163-nucleotide ribosomal RNA is filed under the name Amelanchier sp. 'rubra'. RNAcentral's name for it is "5.8S ribosomal RNA". It matches the Rfam family "5.8S ribosomal RNA". From Rfam's summary of the family: 5.8S ribosomal RNA (5.8S rRNA) is a component of the large subunit of the eukaryotic ribosome. It is transcribed by RNA polymerase I as part of the 45S precursor that also contains 18S and 28S rRNA. Functionally, it is thought that 5.8S rRNA may be involved in ribosome translocation. Lineage: Eukaryota; Viridiplantae; Streptophyta; Magnoliopsida; Rosales; Rosaceae. The record is from RNAcentral.
AAACGACUCUCGGCAACGGAUAUCUCGGCUCUCGCAUCGAUGAAGAACGUAGCGAAAUGCGAUACUUGGUGUGAAUUGCAGAAUCCCGUGAACCAUCGAGUCUUUGAGCGCAAGUUGCGCCCGAAGCCUUUAGGCCGAGGGCACGCCUGCCUGGGCGUCACAC